This is a non-coding RNA of Phalacrocorax carbo (great cormorant), 1530 nucleotides long. NCBI's taxonomy places the organism in Eukaryota, Metazoa, Chordata, Aves, Suliformes, Phalacrocoracidae. The record is from RefSeq and is a predicted model, not a curated record.
UCUCGGCGCCCCCGGCCGCAGCGGGCCACGCAAGCAGGAGGGUCUCCCGCCGCCCCGCCUGGCUGCGUGACCCGCUGGGACCGGGGGCGCGGCGGGGACCCCCCUCCCGUGCUCCUCCAGCCGGUCUGGAGCAAGUACAUCUCACGCCCGCCUCAGUCUCUUCGGCCUCCAGAGCUUGGCGCGGGUCACCCCUUAUUUCGGGGUUCGUCCCUUGCAAGCUGACCCCGUUGGCCAAACCCUCAAGCCUCCACCGCCCGCCUGUAAGCGCACAGGCAGAAGCAGGGAGCGUUUCCUAGCAAAGGCAAGCGCUCCUGGCUGGCAGCCUAGAAUCCGCUGGCACCUACACAUAAGAUUCUCCUCUGAGCAUUGCUGUGACCACGUUCUAUGUUUGAAAUAAUAUGUAUUAACAAAUGAAUAAGAUCACAGCUCUGGAGCAGUAAUGAUGAAUACAUCCUUGAUUCAGAGGAAUGCUUGCUCCUUUUAGCACAAGUGUGCUAAAUCUUCCAUGAGAUGCCUGCCUGAUUAGUUUUUAUCUUUGCACAUCAUGGCUCCACUGAUUUGAAAACUUCAGAGUCUCUAGCUGUAAAAUGGAGAAUUCUGCUUCACGGGGAGAAUCUGUUCAAGUGAGAGAGCUGUGUUAAUGGCUCAUGCCUCAGGGUACUACUGAAAGCUGUUCUGAAGACGGAGAAGGACUUCAGAAUGUAGGCUGCACCUGCACUUGCUGCUCAGGCUCUGAUUCACUGAUGCUGCCUGGCUCAGGCUAGCAUAGGAGAGAAGGAAGAUCAUAUAUUCUGAGGCAGGAAUGUGAACGUUCAAAAAUACCUUUCCACUUAGAGUGGCAAUAAUUCUCUGCGGGGAAAAAUAAAUGCAUGUGCCUAAACUGGUGGGAAUCAACAGCUGGAGAAAGGAAGGAACACAGCGAGAGACAGAGCCUCUCACCUGUAGAUCACUCCCUUCCUUCGUGUACACAAGCUGCCUGCACCAGUAGUGAUACUAGCAUUGCAUGGGCAUUUUUCUGUGUUGCCUUCCCUCUUUGCAGCCCUCUUCAAACUGCAGCCAGUGCUAGAAAGGAGGGCUGGGAAGGAAAGCAAGCUCGCCUGAAUAUAUGCAAAGCCUGUCUAAGUUCACCAAAAACCAGUGGCAUGCAGAGAAUGUUAUGUUGUUCUGAGAUGUCGCAAGAGCAUACAAGCAGUGUGGGAAAAGUGCAAACAGAGCUGGUGCAGUAGGAACUACAAACGGCAUCAUGUUAUCUACCACGGGGGGCAGCUAUGGGGAGAUCUCAAACCAGAGAACACUUUUGAAAUGAAAGAAAAGAAAACCCUGGCAAGUGCAUUCAGUUUCCUUUCAGAAGCAUCAGCACAAUGAGCUACCAGCAACUCACAAGCAGUGGGGAUUUCUAGCUUCUUUAACAAGCUACUGUUUUCCUUGGAGAAGAUAAAUUGUUUGUUGUUUACUUCUCAUAUAUAAAGGAGAAUAUUGGAGAAUUGUUCGUUUUUUUCUCUAAUAAAUUUUUUUUUGACUUGCACUAUG